AACGAACGCUGGCGGCAUGCCUAACACAUGCAAGUCGAACGAGACCUUCGGGUCUAGUGGCGCACGGGUGCGUAACGCGUGGGAACCUGCCCUUAGGUUCGGAAUAACUCCCCGAAAGGGGUGCUAAUACCGGAUAAUGUCUUCGGACCAAAGAUUUAUCGCCUUUGGAUGGGCCCGCGUUGGAUUAGCUAGUUGGUAGGGUAAAAGCCUACCAAGGCGACGAUCCAUAGCUGGUCUGAGAGGAUGAUCAGCCACACUGGGACUGAGACACGGCCCAGACUCCUACGGGAGGCAGCAGUGGGGAAUAUUGGACAAUGGGCGUAAGCCUGAUCCAGCAAUGCCGCGUGAGUGAUGAAGGCCUUAGGGUUGUAAAGCUCUUUUACCCGGGAUGAUAAUGACAGUACCGGGAGAAUAAGCGCCGGCUAACUCCGUG
Molecule: ribosomal RNA, 433 nt
Filed under: uncultured bacterium
Lineage: Bacteria
Description: partial 16S ribosomal RNA
Rfam family: Bacterial small subunit ribosomal RNA
Source: RNAcentral